UGGGGAAUAUUGGACAAUGGGCGAAAGCCUGAUCCAGCCAUGCCGCGUGUGUGAAGAAGGUCUUCGGAUUGUAAAGCACUUUAAGUUGGGAGGAAGGGCAGUAAGUUAAUACCUUGCUGUUUUGACGUUACCGACAGAAUAAGCACCGGCUAACUCUGUGCCAGCAGCCGCGGUAAUACAGAGGGAGCAAGCGUUAAUCGGAAUUACUGGGCGUAAAGCGCGCGUAGGUGGUUUGUUAAGUUGGAUGUGAAAGCCCCGGGCUCAACCUGGGAACUGCAUCCAAAACUGGCAAGCUAGAGUACGGUAGAGGGUGGUGGAAUUUCCUGUGUAGCGGUGAAAUGCGUAGAUAUAGGAAGGAACACCAGUGGCGAAGGCGACCACCUGGACUGAUACUGACACUGAGGUGCGAAAGCGUGGGGAGCAAACA
RNAcentral lists this ribosomal RNA (427 nucleotides) under uncultured bacterium. Its description in RNAcentral is "partial 16S ribosomal RNA". It matches the Rfam family "Bacterial small subunit ribosomal RNA", at positions 355 to 774 of the family's 1533-position model. The record is from RNAcentral.